UGUGUAGGUUGUUCCUUGCACAACUCCAGGGGGUACUGUUCCCACUGUCGUUUAUGGGAACUCCUACUGGAGUUGUGCAAUGCACAACCUGGAC
This 94-nucleotide microRNA precursor is filed under the name Marmota monax (woodchuck). Lineage: Eukaryota; Metazoa; Chordata; Mammalia; Rodentia; Sciuridae. The record is from RNAcentral.